Molecule: long non-coding RNA, 924 nt
Organism: Astatotilapia calliptera (eastern happy)
Lineage: Eukaryota; Metazoa; Chordata; Actinopteri; Cichliformes; Cichlidae
Source: Ensembl
CAGGACCUCACUUCAGCUACAGUGUUAGCUGAAACAAAACUCUGCCUCAAUUGAGUUGAAGUGUUCUCCCUGUUCCAUGAAUGAAAGAGAGAUUUAUAUGUUUCACUGUUACUUUGUCAUGAGUACAAAGAGGCAGUUUGGGUGAAAAAUAAAAAGUAGUGUUACAUCAGAAGGAUUUAGAGAUGACCAAUGACCUUUUAGUGAGUCAACAAAUCGCCUUUUCAGAAAUCCUCUUACAGUACAAGUGCUUUCUGUGGCUGCUAGGAAAGAUAGAAAAACCUCUUUAAACCCUUUUUUGUCUUUUGUGCUUUAUUUUUUACAAGACACUUGAUGUCAUCCAGCGUUAAAUGCAGUAAGAAAUCUCAGGUGGAAUUGCUGCGCUGGCUUCUCUCACUGGGUCCGCCUCUGGGCAGCAUUUCCCUAUAGUUCCCUCCUUCAUACACCUGCUUCACAUUUGCGAUCGAGUGCUGGGUAUAUCUGGCUGGUGGAUUCACCAGUUCUUUGCAGGUUUGUUACAAAUAACAGGUAAUGAAGGUGGCUCAAUGGGCGCCAUGAUGGUGAUGACAAUCUGUUUGUUUCCUCCCAGUUACCUGUCUGAGCUGUUGUGGAAACUUUGGCUCUUUGGAAAUACAAACCUCCUCCAUGACUCCAUUCACCUAGAAAACAAGUAAGGCUGACACAGUUUUCACCUCUGUCAACAGUGUCCCACUACUGGACUGCUUUUAGCUCCCUAUUUAAAGGCAGUGCUCACUAAUGAACUGCAGAACCUCCCGACCAUCUAUCCACUACUUCUUCAUUCAGUCGUUGUCAAUAAAAUAAAUCUUAAACUUCCCAGCUGUUCUUUGAGUCUGCUCUCUGGGUCUACAAUUAGCCACAUUAUUACAGGAAGCAGUCAUCUAUAAAACUGAAUAAAUCUCAUUCAAC